Long non-coding RNA from Haliotis rubra (blacklip abalone), 820 nucleotides. RefSeq lists it as uncharacterized. The record is from RefSeq and is a predicted model, not a curated record. NCBI's taxonomy places the organism in Eukaryota, Metazoa, Mollusca, Gastropoda, Lepetellida, Haliotidae. The transcript has 3 exons.
CCUAACCCCCGUAGAGCCGUGCAAGAACCUCAUGAGUCACGAACUUACAGUCGCUGAGAUGACUUCAGAAAUGUGUAUUGAAAGAUGAAUUAUUUCAUGUCAGAUUAACUUUAUUGUUGAGUGAAAUCCAUACUUUUGUUGCAUAAUCCUGGUCCAAACGCGGCUAAUCAACAGAAUCCUGGUCCAAAUGCGGCUAAUCAACAGAUUAACAACGAUCAUCGGAGAUUUGUUCUGAAGCUCGCCGAUGUCGUUGGCAAUGCUCUGAUCCUUGCAGCACUUGCUUGCCUGUUUCAUGAGGGUUGGGUCAAAAUUACAGACUACACGGCAAUGGUGGGUUCGGCCGUCUCCCUCCUGGCUAGUACUGGAGUCCUGAUAGUAGAUCGCAAACAACACGAUCACAACAGUGAUUGGAUGAAACUUUGCAAAUGGAACUUCCUCGAAACGACGUUCCACGUGGUCACUGCCGGCUGGGUGAUGAGCAGCUGCAUCAAGUCUCGGGCUGAUGAGAUGGAGGACUUGAGCGACAUAACAAGUAUGUCCACCUUAGGCCAGUGUAGCGAAAUUAUGGAAGCCCUCAUGGCUUGUGCGUCCCUGGUGACAUCUGGAGCAUUCUGUAUUAAGCAUUGCUUGAAACGUAGGAGACAUAGGAGAAAUUAGUAAUAAUUGAUACGAUAUUGUCAUAGCGACUGUUUCAGGACAGCCAUGUUCAAAUAUUUCCAAAAGUGAAGACCAUGUAGCCAAGACAUGUAAGACUUAAAUGCAACAAUAUACUAUUCACACUUUGCUAAGGAUCAAAUCAUUGAUUCAACAGAAACUAUGA